Molecule: ribosomal RNA, 637 nt
Filed under: uncultured marine bacterium
Lineage: Bacteria
Description: bacterial SSU rRNA
Rfam family: Bacterial small subunit ribosomal RNA
Source: RNAcentral
AGUCGAGCGCGCCCUUCGGGGUGAGCGGCGGACGGGUGAGUAACGCGUGGGAAUAUGCCCUUCUCUAAGGAAUAGCCUCUGGAAACGGAGAGUAAUACCUUAUACGCCCUUUUGGGGAAAGAUUUAUCGGAGAAGGAUUAGCCCGCGUUAGAUUAGGUAGUUGGUGGGGUAAUGGCCUACCAAGCCUACGAUCUAUAGCUGGUUUGAGAGGAUGAUCAGCCACACUGGGACUGAGACACGGCCCAGACUCCUACGGGAGGCAGCAGUAGGGAAUCUUAGACAAUGGGGGCAACCCUGAUCUAGCCAUGCCGCGUGUGUGAUGAAGGCCCUAGGGCCGUAAAGCACUUUCGCCAGAGAUGAUAAUGACAGUAUCUGGUAAAGAAACCCCGGCUAACUCCGUGCCAGCAGCCGCGGUAAUACGGAGGGGGUUAACGUUGUUCGGAAUUACUGGGCGUAAAGCGCACGUAGGCGGAUUAGUAAGUUAGAGGUGAAAUCCCAGGGCUCAACCCUGGAACUGCCUUUAAUACUGCUAGUCUUGAGUUCGAGAGAGGUAAGUGGGAUUCCGAGUGUAGAGGUGAAAUUCGUAGAUAUUCGGAGGAACCCCAGUGGCGGAGGCGGCUUACUGGCUCGAUACUGA